AGCAGGGACGGAUUCAAGGGGGGACGAGGGGGGGCGAGACCCCCCCUAACGAUCGUGCCGCACCUUAAUAGCGAUCAGUUGGUCGCUAAUUUUGUUGGCUACGCAAGUGUACGUGGCUUGCUUCGCCCCCCCUGUGUGAUUUGUGCUUCCCAUAGCCAGCGAGGGCCCAUGUAAUGGUGAUCAGUUGAUUGCAGCCUAAAGGCCCAAAUCCCAGAAAAAUAAAAAGGAAACAUAGCCCAUCAUGAAAGCGAAGGGGCCAGGCUACGAAGCAGUACCCACUAAUCCCUUCGAUUCCAACCUAAAAGAACUGCUCCAGAGAUCGCGCCGGCCGUCGGCCGCCUGCUAGAUCUUCUGUCUAAUCUAUCCAUCCAGAAGGGAAGGCGACAUGAAAGUGUCAUUGUGUCGAUCCAGCAGCUCAUUCUGUCCGGCCGGCCUCAUGGAUGGAUGAGCUACCUAACGAGGAAACAAGGUUUAGUUUUUAUUUCCAGCAUUAGAUUUGGUUGUGUCUUUCAAACCAUAAAAGGAGCGAUUCUAGAAUUAGAGAUAUUAACAGCUUGCUCACAUGAUUUGACCCUGAAUUCCCAAUAUCGCGGCCGCUUGUGGCGAUCAGCCACAUGGAUCGUUGUAUCUUUUCUCCACCCAAACUUGAUUGCGGCCGCUCAUCUCAGUUGACAGCAUUAGAUCGUUUCUCUAGGUAUAACCAUAGUAUUAAUCAGACUGGUAUUAAUAUAUACUUUUUGACAUCAACGUAUUAUUGAUCUGGCCUGAUACGGUGAUCCCUAAUGCAUUAGUUAGUAGCAAUUCUGAAGUUGCAGUAACAUGUGUUCUCGGUGAUAGAUAUAGAUCUAAUUUAAUAUACUUAUCUUUUAUCUCUGUUUAGCUGUACUUCUCUACACAAAAAAUAAAUAGAAAGAAAAGAACAUAUUGCUACUUUCAAGCCAUCUGCUUCUUGUUCAAACUCUUUGUACUGCAAAUCCAAAUUCAACUUGCUAAUCUUAUGAUCAUAUAGGUAAUCAUAGAGCUAAUUUACAUUGACAGUUGCAAAACAUGUGCUAUUUUUAUACAUUAAUUAAUACUUGUGCAACUGUUGCAAAGUAUACAUUUGACAUUUUACGUGAGACUUGAUAUACAUAUUAUUAUGUGUGUGACAAUUAUCUCUUUUUGGGGUAAAAUAAGACGGUUAUCUCUUUUUGGGGUAAAAAAAGACAGUUAUCUCUUUCGCCCCCCCUAUGUUCAAAUCCUGGCUCCGUCCCUGA
This 1256-nucleotide long non-coding RNA is filed under the name Triticum aestivum (bread wheat). Its description in RNAcentral is "long non-coding RNA (TAES_LNC016762)". The record is from RNAcentral. Lineage: Eukaryota; Viridiplantae; Streptophyta; Magnoliopsida; Poales; Poaceae.